This 1084-nucleotide ribosomal RNA is filed under the name sordariomycete sp. NISK-94-166/39. Its description in RNAcentral is "SSU rRNA". It matches the Rfam family "Eukaryotic small subunit ribosomal RNA", at positions 21 to 1115 of the family's 1831-position model. Lineage: Eukaryota; Fungi; Ascomycota; Sordariomycetes. The record is from RNAcentral.
UAGUCAUAUGCUUGUCUCAAAGAUUAAGCCAUGCAUGUCUAAGUAUAAGCAAUUAUACGGCGAAACUGCGAAUGGCUCAUUAAAUCAGUUAUCGUUUAUUUGAUAGCCCCUUACUACUUGGAUAACCGUGGUAAUUCUAGAGCUAAUACAUGCUGAAAACCCCGACUUCGGAAGGGAUGUAUUUAUUAGAUUAAAAACCAAUGCCCCUCGGGGCUCACUGGUGAUUCAUGAUAACUUCUCGAAUCGCACGGCCUUGCGCCGGCGAUGGCUCAUUCAAAUUUCUGCCCUAUCAACUUUCGACGGCUGGAUCUGGGCCCGCCAUGGUGACAACGGGUAACGGAGGGUUAGGGCUCGGCCCCGGAGAAGGAGCCUGAGAAACGGCUACUACAUCCAAGGAAGGCAGCAGGCGCGCAAAUUACCCAAUCCCGACUCGGGGAGGUAGUGACAAUAAAUACUGAUACAGGCCUCUUUUCCCUCUUGUAAUUGGAAUGAGUACAAUUUAAUUCCCUUAACGAGGAACAAUUGGAGGGCAAGUCUGGUGCCAGCAGCCGCGGUAAUUCCAGCUCCAAUAGCGUAUAUUAAAGUUGUUGCAGUUAAAAAGCUCGUAGUUGAACCUUGGGCCUGGCUGGCCGGUCCGCCUCACCGCGUGCACUGGUCCGGCCGGGUCUUUCCCUCUGGGGAGCCGCAUGCCCUUCACUGGGCGUGUCGGGGAACCAGGACAUUUACUUUGAAAAAAUUAGAGUGUUCAAAGCAGGCUUAUGCUCGAAUACAUUAGCAUGGAAUAAUAGAAUAGGACGCGCGGUUCUAUUUUGUUGGUUUCUAGGACCGCCGUAAUGAUUAAUAGGGACAGUCGGGGGCAUCAGUAUUCAAUAGUCAGAGGUGAAAUUCUUGGAUCUAUUGAAGACUAACUACUGCGAAAGCAUUUGCCAAGGAUGUUUUCAUUAAUCAGGAACGAAAGUUAGGGGAUCGAAGACGAUCAGAUACCGUCGUAGUCUUAACCAUAAACUAUGCCGACUAGGGAUCGGACGAUGUUAUUUUUUGACUCGUUCGGCACCUUACACGAAAGUACAAGUUUCUGGGUUCU